Molecule: long non-coding RNA, 1912 nt
Filed under: Ananas comosus (pineapple)
Lineage: Eukaryota; Viridiplantae; Streptophyta; Magnoliopsida; Poales; Bromeliaceae
Description: long non-coding RNA (ACOM_LNC027607)
Source: RNAcentral
GGUAGGCGGUGGUCGCCGCCUCCUUUGAUUAAUUGUUUGUAUCAAGCAUCUACCCUUCUCCAUUUUCUCAGAAAAAAUUAGCAUCCAGUUAAAAAUAAGAAAAACACUAAUAAAAUACUAACUAAUUAGUAUAAAAUUAUAACUUAGAAUGAAUUGCAGAUCCAGCACUUGUCUCAAAAUGAUUAUCAAUUGCAUGAGUUUGGGCCCGGAUCAUUGGUGUUGUGAUGCGCCUGAGGAAGACAAAAUAUAUUUUUUUUUUUUAAGAGAAAGGUAGCAUGCUACCCGCUUUAUUCAUUGGAAAAAUGAACUAGGCUACAAGGGUGGGGCAACCAUAGUUAGUAAAUUCGGAUUCGGCAAAAAUUCGGUACGGAUAUAAUUCGGAUAAAAUUCGUCUUCUAAUUUUUAAAUUUAUUGAAAAAUACGGCUAAAAAACGGAUUCGCUAAUUAUUCGGAUACGUGAUUUAUACGGAUAUUAUACGUUCACCAAUUAAAAAUUCGGGAUAAAAAAUUCGGCUAUUAAAUUAAGUUUUUUUUCUCUCAAAAUUUAUGCUAUUAGCAUAAAUAUUCAUAUUUCUUAAGAAUAUAAGAAUAAAGAGCUACAAAAUUAAACUAAUUAAGUAAAACAUAGUUGAAAACUGAAUAUAAUUAAAUAUAAAAUAUAGAAGAUUCACAUAUAAACAUAAAAGAUUCACAUACAACCAUUAUUGCAAACUCUGUUACUAAAAUAUGUUACCCUUUGUUGUCAAGAUUCCUUACUUGAAUAGCAUUAUUUGGAGCAAUUUUUUUUUUCCUGAAAUAAACUUCGCACCAUAAUAUGCAGGGUUAAAAUAUAUAUAUAGACACCUAGUUAAGCUACUUUAAAAGAGGUUAACAUACUCGAAGUGAUCGAUCGAUUGAUGCCCGCCAAAUCCCGUUGCUAAUUCUAAUCCAAAUUCAAAUCCAAAAAACUUCUCAGAUCUCAGAUCUCAGAUCUAUGAUAAUUAAUUAGGCACCUUUCGCAAGUCCAAGAGUCAAUAUAAACCCAACUUAAUUAAUUAAGGAGAGAUGAAGAAACCCUAAUUAACAAUUUUAAUUAGCUUGAAGGAGAUUAAUUAUUGUGAGCAGUAGAGAAAAUAGAACUUGUAGACUUCAAAACUACAAUGUAAAGGAUGUAGACUUCAAAACUACAAUGUAAAGUGUAGAUCAUAGGGAUGAUGAGAGUCAAACUCAUACAAGGUUUACUCAUCGGAGAAGGGAAGAGGGGCGAAGAGGUUACCUGUGUGCUGGGAGAGGCCGAGGAGGAGGAGGGAGAGGAGGGGCGGAACGAGGAGGUGGGCGGCGGCGGCGGCGGCGCAGACGCGGCGGCGACGGCGCAGGCGCGGGCUUAGGCGAGGUCGGGCGGGGCGCGGGGCGGGGGGCGUGGGAGAUGACGGACUGGUUGAGGAAGGAAGGACUGGAGGAGUGGAGGGUUCUGAACUUCUGAUUUCUGAAGAGUGAAGAACUCGAUCUUCGAUGUGGCCACGCGGGGUCUUCCAAUGGCAUGCGGCGAGCGGCCGGAAGGGAAGAGGAGGAAGGAAGGGGAUCGGGGCUGGGAUCGGUGCCUCGAUGGUAGGCGGGAGGGGUGAGGGUUAGGGUAAAAUCUUCGUUUUGGGGAGGGCGAAGAGGGCAAUUCGAAUUUCGAUUUUCGAAAGGAAUUUUUUCCCCCUGCCGGUUUUUUUUUUUUUUUUUUUUUUUGUUUGGGGUGUUUUGAUUUGUUGUUUUAACUAUUUUUUCUGUUAAUUUUAGUAUGCACUAGAAUUUUUUUUUUCUUCUUGUUCAAUUUAAAUAAUUAUGCGCAAUAUUAGCCCUAAUGUAUCACGCCGUGUUGUUUGAUAUAAUGUUGUAUCAUAUUAAAUUAAUAUAUAUUUGUUGUUAUGCAGUAGUAUGUUUGAUU